RNAcentral lists this ribosomal RNA (566 nucleotides) under Trichoderma sp. PPRI 14681. Its description in RNAcentral is "eukaryotic LSU rRNA". Lineage: Eukaryota; Fungi; Ascomycota; Sordariomycetes; Hypocreales; Hypocreaceae. The record is from RNAcentral.
CUCCGAAAACCCAAUGUGAACCAUACCAAACUGUUGCCUCGGCGGGGUCACGCCCCGGGUGCGUYKCAGCCCCGGAACCAGGCGCCCGCCGGAGGGACCAACCAAACUCUUUUCUGUAGUCCCCUCGCGGACGUUAUUUCUUACAGCUCUGAGCAAAAAUUCAAAAUGAAUCAAAACUUUCAACAACGGAUCUCUUGGUUCUGGCAUCGAUGAAGAACGCAGCGAAAUGCGAUAAGUAAUGUGAAUUGCAGAAUUCAGUGAAUCAUCGAAUCUUUGAACGCACAUUGCGCCCGCCAGUAUUCUGGCGGGCAUGCCUGUCCGAGCGUCAUUUCAACCCUCGAACCCCUCCGGGGGGUCGGCGUUGGGGAUCGGGAACCCCUAAGACGGGAUCCCGGCCCCGAAAUACAGUGGCGGUCUCGCCGCAGCCUCUCCUGCGCAGUAGUUUGCACAACUCGCACCGGGAGCGCGGCGCGUCCACGUCCGUAAAACACCCAACUUCUGAAAUGUUGACCUCGGAUCAGGUAGGAAUACCCGCUGAACUUAAGCAUAUCAAUAAGGCGRARAAA